This 447-nucleotide ribosomal RNA is filed under the name uncultured bacterium. Its description in RNAcentral is "bacterial SSU rRNA". It matches the Rfam family "Bacterial small subunit ribosomal RNA", at positions 355 to 825 of the family's 1533-position model. The record is from RNAcentral.
UGGGGAAUUUUGGACAAUGGGGGCAACCCUGAUCCAGCCAUUCCGCGUGAGUGAAGAAGGCCUUAGGGUUGUAAAACUCUUUCGUCGGGGACGAUAAUGACGGUACCCGAAGAAGAAGCUCCGGCUAACUUCGUGCCAGCAGCCGCGGUAAUACGAAGGGGGCUAGCGUUGUUCGGAAUCACUGGGCGUAAAGCGCACGUAGGCGGAUAGUUAAGUCAGGGGUGAAAUCCUGGGGCUCAACCCCAGAACUGCCUUUGAUACUGGCUGUCUCGAGGUCGAGAGAGGUUGGUGGAAUUCCUAGUGUAGAGGUGAAAUUCGUAGAUAUUAGGAAGAACACCAGUGGCGAAGGCGGCCAACUGGCUCGAUACUGACGCUGAGGUGCGAAAGCGUGGGGAGCAAACAGGAUUAGAUACCCUAGUAGUCCCUGAGCGGGCUGGCAAGGCGCAU